Molecule: ribosomal RNA, 500 nt
Filed under: uncultured Glomeromycotina
Lineage: Eukaryota; Fungi; Glomeromycota
Description: partial small subunit ribosomal RNA
Rfam family: Eukaryotic small subunit ribosomal RNA
Source: RNAcentral
CCAAUAGCGUAUAUUAAAGUUGUUGCAGUUAAAAAGCUCGUAGUUGAAUUUUGGGUCUGGCCGGGCGGUCCGCCCUCUGGGUGAGCACUGUUCCGACGCCGGGCCUAUCCUUCUGGUGAGUCGGCAUGUCCUUUAUUGGGUGUGCCGGGGAACCAGGACCAUUACCUUGAAAAAAUUAGAGUGUUCAAAGCAGGCGUAUGCUCGGAUACAUUAGCAUGGAAUAAUGAAAUAGGACGCGUGGUGCUAUUUUGUUGGUUUCUAGAACCGCCGUAAUGAUUAAUAGGGAUAGUUGGGGGCAUUAAUAUUCAAUUGUCAGAGGUGAAAUUCUUGGAUUUAUUGAAGACUAACUUCUGCGAAAGCAUUUGCCAAGGAUGUUUUCAUUAAUCAAGAACGAAAGUUAGGGGAUCGAAGACGAUCAGAUACCGUCGUAGUCUUAACCAUAAACUAUGCCGACUAGGAAUCGGGCGAUGUUAUUCUCAUGACUCGCCCGGCGCCUUAUG